GAGUCUCCAGCUUUUUGCUCCUUAAACCACAGAAAGUCAGGGAUGUGAGUCUACAGCUGUUUGCUCCUUAAACCACAGAAAGUCAGGGAUAUGAGUCUACAGCUGUUUGCUCCUUAAACCACAGAAAGUCAGGGAUAUGAGUCUACAGCUGUUUGCUCCUUAAACCACAGAAAGUCAGGGAUAUGAGUCUACAGCUUUUUGCUCCUUAAACCACAGAAAGUCAGGGAUAUGAGUCUACAGCUGUUUGCUCCUUAAACCACAGAAAGUCAGGGAUAUGAGUCUACAGCUGUUUGCUCAUUGAAACUGCAGAGUCAGGGAUGUGAGUCUACAGCUGUUUGCUCCUUAAAACCACAGAAAGUCAAUGAUGUGAGUCUACAGCUGUUUGCUCCUAAAAACCGCAGAGUCAGGGAUAUGUCUACAGCUAUUUACUCCAUAAAACCGUAGAAAUUCAGGGAUGUGAGUCUACACCUGUUUUCUCAUUGAAACUGCAGAGUCAGGGAUGUGAGUCUACAGCUGUUUCCUCCUUAAAACUGUAGCUGUAGUUUUUGUGUCCCUGUUAAUUCCUGUAUCUGUAGACAUAUCGUCAAGUUGUAUUUAUACUCGACUUAAAUAAGUGUAAAGUUUCUACAGUUUGUGAUUUGAAUAAAACAGUUAUUAUAAUCGAAAAUAUUCCUGAUAAUAUUUAUUUAUAAUGCUUAAACUACAUUUUUCCUCUGUAGAUCAUAAGCUGAGUACUUGGCAUGAUUGUGUAAUGACGUAUAUAUUUAAUUCACAAUAUAAUCCUGUUAUCCA
Molecule: long non-coding RNA, 792 nt
Organism: Macrobrachium nipponense
Lineage: Eukaryota; Metazoa; Arthropoda; Malacostraca; Decapoda; Palaemonidae
Exons: 2
Source: RefSeq, a predicted model, not a curated record